UGGCAAAAAUUGUCUCUUCCUUAUUUCUAUGUGUCUUCCUUACUUCUAUGCAGUUAUUAUAUGAUUUAUGACUUAUGUUCUGCAAUUAAUAUCUUAUGUUUUGUCUUACUGUAUGCAUUUGACAUUUCACCUAGAUUGUUCAAUGGUUGUCUCUGCCUGAUAGACUCUCAACUCUAGCUCCCAAACCCAAGGUCGGGGAGUUGUGUCUCUGUCUGUUGAGACUUGGUGCUCCUUUCUCACAGAUAGUUGGACGUCAGCAAUGCAGGUGUGAGAAUGUAAACAUCUUCACACACACUGUGACAGGGAGGAGAUGGUGCAUGUAAUUUGAUUGGGUUAGAAAGACAUUCCACCCUAGUCGGACAGAGAAGCUAAAAGGCAGAAGCAACUUUAGGAUCGUGGGCUCUUUGCAUCACACCUUCGUGGUGUGUGCACUGAUCUCCCCAGCUGGUUUUGGUUUGUUGAUGUGCACGAUCAACAUCCAUGCUUUUUAUUUGCUUUCCCCAUUAUUUUUAUUUUCUUUAUUAUUUCAAUAAAUCGCACAAAAGGACAACUCUCUCUCAUCUACUUCUUUAUGGAAAAUUUCCACCACAGAAAUUGGCGUUGUCGGCAGGAUCCCGCAGCAGGUCGUCUGGACGGUGUGACCAGGGACGAUAGUCCUGAGGACUAGGGUCGCUCAGCCUCCAAACCUCUACAGACAUUCAGAGCUGGGAGGACUGCUCACCCGUCUGGAUCGCCUCUGACGAGAUCCACGAACUCAGAUUCAAACUCAAAUCCUAAUUUGGCUCAGCUCGGUGAGAGAGAUUCCUUUUAAUUUGGGAAAAAACAAAAAGAAAAUAUAACUAGGAAAAGAGAUAAUAUUUCUAAAACGACUAUGUGGCUGAAAACAUCUAAAAUAUAAUAAUUAGGACCAAACAAUUUUUUUAAUUAAAAAACUUAAUAUUCGGGUAAAAUUAAUUAGGUCAAAGUGUGCCCUGGUGGUCGAGACGGUGGUUGCUAAGGGUUGGCUCGUGGAACCGAGCUUCCGUCUGUACUGAGGAUACAGACAUGUUUUUCUGAUCUGUGCGUGGUCCACACGUGGGGGACUGAGUAUAAAAGACGGCUUCUGAAAGAGGGAGUGCGUUUGCAGAGUGAAGUAUUUUCAAGAGACGAGGGCCCCGGGCCUAGAGGGGCCUAACGUUGAGGAAGUACUUCGUGAAAGACUCUGUCGCCAGAUCGGGUUGGUUCCCUUUUUACGGAGACGUCCGAUAAAAAGGCAUUUUGGGAAGGUUCCGGCCGGAACACAUAAAAAUCUAAGGCAGAAAACCGCCGGGACUCUGAAAGAUGGGUUCGGGGCGAUCUAAGUCUCCACCACCAGACUGCAGCAUUACAAAACUAAAGGUAAUUAAAAGUAAAAAGUAAAUAUGGUUAUUAGUGCGUUUCAUGUUUCCAUGAGUGGGAAACUGGUUAUGGGUUCAAAAGGAGAAUCGCUUGUGUAAAAGACAUAUGCACCUUUAAAAGAAAAAUUAGAUACAAAAAGAUGAAAUUUGAAAAAGCAAAACUAUCAAAACUAAAGCCCUAAAAGAAACAAAAGAGUGAUGAGAGUAACAGGAAAAAAGGAGAUAACAACUCUGGGGAAGAAUUGUUUGCACUCGCCACACACACACAUACACCACACCACACACACACAUGUCAUGCCAAGAGCAAAUGCUCCCAUUCUUUCUGCUCUCUAUUCUAAUGCAGAACUGAGCGCGAUGAGGGUAAAUCCGGAUCUGGACUCCUUUCCCACCAUCAGCAGAAGAACCAAAGGAGAAGAAGCGCCAACCAACAACCAGAACAGGGUGGAAGCUCUGACACCACAGCAGCUGGAGGACACAGACCACAGCAUGGACGCCUCACAGACUCCCACAACGUCUGCAGCCAUCACGUUCUGGGCUCAUCAGAUGAACCAGCUACUACAAGCGUGUGUGUCUGACAGACACCUGCUUAUGACAAUCAGCAAAGGAAAACAAGGACAGAGCAACAGCAGAGAAGACAUGCUCUGACACAGACACUGGUUGAAACAACAGGAGAGGCUUCAGACGUGAUCGGCCCAAUAGAGCUGCAUCCAAGCAUCCAGGAAAGGUCUGUCAUCGAGGAACAACUGUCCCAUUGAAAGGCUUCACCCGCUGGCGCUCACAUGAGACUGAUGGUUGGGGAAGGAGGAAGGUGACGGUUCCUUUUCACGUGACGUACAAGACGGUACCGCAAACACACACACACACACAUUCAUACACGCAAUGAAGAAACACGCUUACAGCUGAUACACGCUCAAAUUCAUGUUCAUGCUUAUCUGCUCGCAAUGAAGAAUCGCUUUUUGCUUAAAAAAAUCCCACAGAGUGAUUUUACAAUGAUGACAAACAGCUAAAUGACAACUGCUGCAUGACUUUGCAGUCUGAUGGGUUUAAACUAUUUUAACUUGCAACAAAUUCAGUAAUAAAAUCCUUCAUGUUUCUAAAAAUACUUGUGCACAAUAUAGGUUUGUCUGGCCAGACUAGAAGACUGUAGAAAACAAAAACAGACCAUAGGAAGACUCAAACUGACUGAAACAGACUAUCAAUGACUAUUAAAGGGAAGACGACUAUUAGAGAGAAGUAAUAAUAAUUACUGUACGUACCAGACUAUUAAAGAAAACUUACUGUUUCACUGUCUUGUGCAACAUCUGCAGCAAGACACCUUAACAUUCAUUUUUGCUUUCAAACUUGUGCCCAGUUAAAUUUUUAGGAAGAGAUCUCAUGUAGUUUAGAUAUUUGAUUGAUUUCCACUCCAGACGGAGUGCAGGUUACAUCUACAGACAUUCUAAAUAAUCCCUCUUUUGUUGGUGUUAACUUCAGCUCAGCUGUGCUCUUAUCAUUGGCUGCUGAGGGGGGGCUGUAACUGAGGCCCUCACACAGGCUGCUUCACAGCUUGUUUAUGAUUUCACACACACACAAACUGACCUCAACUUCCCUCUUUUGGGAUGGACACAGGUCUGCGCUUGCGAUUUCAUUUACUAAUGAACAAAAAGAUUUUUGAUGUUUAUUUUACAGUUACACACGUCCCUCUGUGAAAACAUGAUGGAGACAGAUGACAGGACGUGGGUCCUUUCGUGAACAGAUGUGAACGGGGUGGAGACUGGUGAACGACUUCUGACCCCAUAGGACGCUCUGACCCAACACUCAGCCUUACAGGAAGCCCUGUUUCCCUGUGACUCACACACAGACAUGAUGUAGGUUCAAUCAGAGGAUGUGAACCAGUGGUCAUCACACCUAAAUCUGACCACAGACCAUGUGAACAACAACACCCUCUUAAAGGAGCCAUAGAUGGCGUUACUGCAGACACCACUAAGCUACUGAAACAUUGGAUGCUACAGGCCACAAAGAGAGCCUGUCUAAAUUACAGUUUGUUCAGACAAAGGUUAUUUUCUGGGUCAUUGUAAUUACAGCUGAUGGCAAAUCCAUCUCACCCAACAGAGUUGAAGCAAUUUGAAACCUGCCUAAAACGUGCACGUAAAAACAGCUGAUGUUUUUUCUAGGUCUUUGUUCUUAUUGUAGGACUUUCGUUCCUAACUUUACUGUCUUUGAGGCCCCACUCAGGGUUCUGAUGCAGACGUCUUCAUCGUCCACUUCUUGUCUCACGUGGACGUCUGAGGCUGAACAACGUUCACUGACCUCAUGCUUGCUCUUCAGUCGGCUCCUACCUUGGGUCUUCCUGAUCUGACCCUAUGCGACCUUUCACUCAAACAGUGGAUGAGAGAUCAGGUUGUACGACUUCUGUUCUUUGUCCUCAUACUGUGUCUUUGAUUCUUUUGGAAAACAUCACAUCUUUCUACAGCCAGAUGGCUUAGAUACAACACCACCUUGCUCAACAUGCUGAAAAUUACUAUCAAGAGUCCGUCGUGAAGUCUGGCGCUUUGCAAAGACACUGCUCUGCUCAGGCUGCAGAGUUGAUUGCGUUGACUGAAGCUGGUAAACUAGCAGAAGGAGAGACUGUUACCAUCUACAGACUCCACAGAUGCUUGUCACACGUUGGUUCUCCUUGGAAGCAUGGGAAGCUUUGAAGUCUGAUUGCAAACCUAUCUUACAUCAUGAUAAGGUUCUGCUUUGCUGGACGCUGUCCUGCUGCCUACAGCUAAUGCUGUUUGUAACUGUCCAACAUCAGUGACGACUUUGUUUCUGCCGACGUGCAGCUGCAGACGCUGCUGCGAAGGUCGCUGCCCAACAACCCCUCCCUCUCCUGAUCCUUGUUUCCUCUCCUGAUCCUUGUUUCCUCUCUCCAACUCUCUCUAUCCUUUCCUUCCUUUCUUCCUCUCUCCCUGUGCUUUAAACAUUUUCUACCUCACAGGAACGCAGACUCUGGCUGACGAAUGGUUCCACCUGUAGCCAUGGAGUCUGGUUUGGGCCUGAUGGAAGCAGUGCCGCCCAAACACUUUUUCCCCACAAUUCAGAUUUCUCAACAGGUGAAAACAGGCGACAGAACCACUGCACAUCAUUCAACCAGGAGACUGGGUGAUCAUUAAGGAGCUUCGCAGGAAGCACUGGAACUCAAAGCGGUGGCAAGGUCCCUUCCAGGUCCUUCUGACGACCAACACGGCUGUGAAGAUCGCAGAAAGAGCGACUUGGAUCCACUCCAGCCACUGCAGGAAGGUCCCGGAUCCGACAGACGACCCUCCAUCUAUAUCUACACCACACGAGAAACCACCACUGACGAAAAGAACUGAGAAGGUCGACCCUCGCUGUGCUCACACAUGCACUGAGGCGAGGCUGCGUUGACCGUUCAGCUAAAGGUGUGAGCCAAGCGCCGCCUGAAGCUGCGCCGGUGAAUCACACUAUCAGACCAUACAUCUACACACACGCUCCUGAGAAAACACACACACGAGCAGCCUUGAGUUGCCGACGCUGGACGACGUGUAGACUCUUCACAUCACGGGAGUGACAGUGACUCAGAGGACAUUGGGAGGAAACCUGGCGGUGAUAACGAAUCCCAAGUGUCUCUGUGAUCAGCUGAUCACAACCUGAAGGACUCCAACGAACUGGCAAUACAUCAACACACAGGUUGGAAACAAUCUAACGCUACUGUUCAACAGGAAGAAGCAGAUUGUUACGAGACAUCAAUUGUAAACAUGCUUUGUUAGACUUCAUUUUAUGUUACUUGGAUUAUUGCCUUUAGCAUAUGAUGUUUCUAUGUAACUUUACACACUACUUUUGAAUGAGAAAAUUCACAACAACAACAACACUGAGUUUAAAUAUCCUAAAGUUGACUUGGUGUUUAAUUUGCUCACAAUCACUUUAUUCACUGCUACAAUUAGUUCUAUCCUUCAUCUACAGAUGAAAGACAACACAAGCGGAAAUAUGCAUCAUCAUUCUGGUUAAAUCCCUGAAUCUCCUAUUCGCUCUAGAUGCAAAUGUACAAUUAAAGAUCCGAAAGCAUUAAAUCUAUCUUAAGAAUAUAUGAAACAGAACCCCACCGGAAACGUAUGGCUAUCAUACAUUAAUUGUCUUUAUUACAUUACAAUUGAAUGGCCGUAGACACGUUGUUAGCAGAGAAAAGAGGCGGUUGUGUUGUGUUUGGAGACGCAUAUUGUACUUACAUCCUGAAUAACACUGAUUCUAAUGGUAUUGUGGCGAAGGCGCUCCACGGCCUUCAGAAUCUCAGCUAACUCUGGUAUAGGUUCUUUCCCUUGGAAUUGGCUAGACGAGAUGUCUGGAAAAUGGAAAUCUGUUCUCAUGUCUGCAGCUGUUUCCUUUAUAAUUGAGAUGGCUGUGAUUCUCUUGUUUGGUUUUUGCGUUAUCACACUGGUUAGAGGUCUCAUCAUGCGUGCGACCCCAGCAACACUCUCGUAUCAAAUGACACAAUGCACUAUGUUCAAAAACCCCAACUCUAAUUCACUUAAUGACUUUGACGAUGGUCUUAGGCUAUCUGACCACGAAAUAUAAUCUGAUACGAAUAUGAUUAUGGGCUUAUUUUCUUCACAUGCCGAUACAGAAGUUAUUCUUGUAUAACUACCCACCAAAAACAGCUCCCAACCUUUUAUCCCUAAGUUACUUGCAUUUUAUGUGAAGGUGUAUUUUUGAAUUUUGACUUAAUACACUUAUUGUUUCAUUUGCAAGGAUCUUGUUUGAUUAAUGUGUAAUCAAAAGGGGGGAGUGUUAUGGCAAAAAUUGUCUCUUCCUUAUUUCUAUGUGUCUUCCUUACUUCUAUGCAGUUAUUAUAUGAUUUAUGACUUAUGUUCUGCAAUUAAUAUCUUAUGUUUUGUCUUACUGUAUGCAUUUGACAUUUCACCUAGAUUGUUCAAUGGUUGUCUCUGCCUGAUAGACUCUCAACUCUAGCUCCCAAACCCAAGGUCGGGGAGUUGUGUCUCUGUCUGUUGAGACUUGGUGCUCCUUUCUCACAGAUAGUUGGACGUCAGCAAUGCAGGUGUGAGAAUGUAAACAUCUUCACACACACUGUGACAGGGAGGAGAUGGUGCAUGUAAUUUGAUUGGGUUAGAAAGACAUUCCACCCUAGUCGGACAGAGAAGCUAAAAGGCAGAAGCAACUUUAGGAUCGUGGGCUCUUUGCAUCACACCUUCGUGGUGUGUGCACUGAUCUCCCCAGCUGGUUUUUGGUUUGUUGAUGUGCACGAUCAACAUCCAUGCUUUUUAUUUGCUUUCCCCAUUAUUUUUAUUUUCUUUAUUAUUUCAAUAAAUCGCACAAAAGGACAA
This is a long non-coding RNA of Betta splendens (Siamese fighting fish), 6697 nucleotides long. RefSeq lists it as uncharacterized. The transcript has 2 exons. The record is from RefSeq and is a predicted model, not a curated record. Lineage: Eukaryota; Metazoa; Chordata; Actinopteri; Anabantiformes; Osphronemidae.